Molecule: long non-coding RNA, 6911 nt
Filed under: Nicotiana tabacum (common tobacco)
Lineage: Eukaryota; Viridiplantae; Streptophyta; Magnoliopsida; Solanales; Solanaceae
Description: long non-coding RNA (NTAB_LNC003353)
Source: RNAcentral
GGAUCUGAUCCGUUAUUUUGAUCCACCCAUUGCCUUUAAUAUAAAACCCAUAUUAUAAACAUUUCCCCCAAUUCCCAAACCCUAGACCCAACCUCAGAAGCAGCGCACCCUACUGCUCCUUCAUCAUCUUCCUCUUCAACUCGCCUUAACUCGUUUUCGAGUUCACUCACAUGGUCCCCUCUCCUCCACGUCACCUUCAUUCCCAACGGAUUUGUCAGAAGAGUACGAAUAUUCCCUCAAAAUCGCAUGAUUUCGGGUACGAAAGGACGAUUUGCUAGAUGAAUAUGAUCCGUGGAUAGAUGUAAAUCGAUCCACGCCUUCCAUUUGUCCCAAAAUUGUUCAAAAAAAACUCGAAGAUUUUCUGAUUUUUGGGCAGAUUUUUGAGAUUUUUCGAAGGCUAUAUAUAUGAGAUAAGUUCUUUGUGCUAGGUUAGAGGAAAACCGACAAAAAAAAUCUUCAGAAAAAAUUUGAGUCAAGUUCCUAGGGUUUGAAGUCAUCAUUUUCUUCAAGCCAUUUUUUCUUCAGUCUGCUUUUUUUUUAGAAAAAAUAUAAAAAAAUAAAACAAUAUGGUCUAAGUUCGAUUUUGAUCCAAGCUUUUAGUUCAUUUUCGGAGGAAAAAUCAGAGACAAUUUUCGGGAUUUGGUAGUGGAAUUUCUAGUUCUCAAAGUUGGGGAUGUGCUGUUGAUUCCUGUCGAUUUUUGCCAUUGAUUUUGCGUUGGCUGGGGUCGAUUCAUAUUUUUCUGUCAUUAUUUGGUUGCUGCAACUUCCUUUCAAGUAUUAGACAUCUAUUUUCUUCUGUGCGUUUUGUUGUAACCAGGUAUUGCGUUUGGCUCAAAAAUGUAAAUAUUAUAUUUUUGAUAACGAAAAUCACGUGGGUGUAUCUCUGUUUAAAUUUGCCUAAAAAUUCUGUGAGUUUGUAUAGAUAUCCAUUUCGUUUGAAUGCUGUAAUGCUGCUGAAAUGCUUAUUUCUUGUAUGAGAUUCUUGUUUGGAGUGUUGUCUGUUAAUUGUUGUUGAGAUGAGAUGGAAUCAAGUUAACAUUAGCUAAAAAAUGUUGUAAUAUCUACUUGGCCAUCAUGUUAAAUUCUAGCCAUGUAUACGUAAAAUCUGAUAUUGUUUGUCAUAUGAUGUACAAUUUUAUUGUUUAAUUCAUAUUAUAAGUAGCAACUCAAGUGGAAGGAUCUGAGGCUCUUUCUUUGUUAAUUUUUUUCUAAAUGAAGAUGAACUUCACUUGUUAAUUUGAAACACUUCCUUAUAGAAACUGAGUAUCCUAUUGAUAACAAUUAUAUCUUUUUGUUAGAAAUUUCAUCGAUUUAGUCAUAAAGGCCUAAAAGGAUACAAUUGCUUUCAUCUAUUUAGUCAUGAAGGUUGUGUUGCUACUGUAUCUUUGCUCUCUACAUGUGGAGUAGUUAUUUUUGGAGAAUGAUUUUUUGCAAGUGUAUUCCAGGCCAAAAAGCAGUAUGGUCCCGAUGUAUUUUUUUGCAGAUUUGGAUUGUGUUAGUUGUUAAAAUAAUACUCUGGAACAUUGACUUGUAAAAAUGCUAAAAAAUGGAAAAAUAGUCCGGAAGCAAAGAACAAUGAGAUUUUUUUCUUUCCGAGGAUUUGUGAUGAUUCAGAGUUUGAAUAGGGAAUAGUAAUUGAACAUAUUUGUAAUUUUUUUGGCCUUUAAUACCUUUCUUGGUUUUGUGUGUCAGUUUGAUUUCAUGGAUAGAUCAAUGAUUUGUAAAAAAUUAAAUUUGUGCUUCGUGCCAGGUGGCCCAUCCUUCCAUAUUCUGUCCAGAUCCAUUAAGAAAUUAAUUAACCAAUCCAGAUUUCUUGGUGUCACGACCCUAAACUUGAACCCGAUCGUGAUGGCGUCACUCGUGAAGACAAGGCCAGCCAAUUAAACCCAAUUCACUUUUUAAACAGUUAAAUAACAUAAAGGUAGCCUAAAACAUGAUAUAGCAAUAUUAAGUAGCGAAUAAUGCCAAUAAAGUGCGGAAGUACAACCCAAUACAACCCUAAUCGGGGUGUCGCUAGUCACGAGCAUCUAUAGCCAUAAUACAAGUCUGCUAAAGUCAUAACUACUACAAGUGUUUGAAAAGGAACAUAAAUGAUAGAGGAGUAGAGGCACGGGGCUGCAGACGUUAGCAGCUGCCUCGUAAUCUCCGAAAACCCGCCUGAAGCUGGAGGGAUCAGCACUCAGGAGCGGUUCCAGCUACGCCUGAAUCUGCACACAGGGGUGUAGGGAGUAAAGUGAGUACUCCAACUCAGUGAGUAACAAAUGUAAAUAAUGACUGAAAGUAAGAAAAUACGUAAGGCACAAGGCAUUCUAUAAUGAAGUAGUAAAACCAUUUAAAAGCAGUAAAACAGUAGAAAGUCAAGUAAAAAAUCCUCUUUCAACAAGUAAACAAGUAAUUGACAGGUAAUUAAGUUAACGUAAACAAAUAGAAGUUCGCCCUUCGGGCACAAUAUCAACAAAUCCGCCCCUCGGGCAAUAUCUCAGAACUAUACCAGCCCCUCGGGCAAUCACAUAGAACAAUACCGGCCCCUCGGGCUCAAUCUCACAUCACAAUGGGUACCCACGCUCACUGGGGGUGUACAGACUUCAGGAGGGGCCCCUUACGGCCCAAGCACAAUAACAAGCCGUCUCGUGGCAUCAAAACUAGGCCCUCGGCCUCAUAUCAAUCAAGCCACCUCGUUGCGCAUAUAUCUCAGGCCCUCGGCCGCAAAUCAGUAUCAGUGUUUCCUCACAACUAGGCCCUCGGCCCUAUUCAGCCAAAAAUACUCACAAGCCCCUCAACAAUAGUAAACAGUGUUUCUCAGCCCAAAUAUCAUUUAAAAUAUCAUUAUAUCUUAAAACUGAGUAAACAUGGCUGAGUAUGAAAACAAUGAAAAAUAACAGGAUUGAGUUUAAGUGUAAAGUCAAAACAGUGAGGAAAUAUCAAUAAAAAUUCCCGAAGGGUUCAAAUAGUUGGCACUAGGCCCAAAUAUGGCAUUCAACCCAAAUAAUGAUGAUAGAAAAUAGUUUUCAAUCAAUACGCAGUAAAAUCAUCAAUCGGGACGGACCAAGUCACAAUUCCCAAUAGUGUACGACCCCACGCUCGUCAUCGAGCGUGUGCCUCACCUCAAUAUAGCACUACGAUGUGCAAAUCCGGGGUCUCAAACCCUCAGAGCAUCAUUUACAAUCAUUACUCACCUCGAACCGGCUAAAUCUCUAGCUCGCGAUGCCUUUUCCCCUCAAAUUGGCCUCCACGCGCAUCGAAUCUAUCCAAAACCAGAACGAAUACGUCAAAAUAUGCUAAGGGAACAAAGCCCAAGCCAAAACAAUAGAAAAAUAUCAAAAAUCCCGAAAUUGGCCAAAACCCGAGCCCCGCGCCCACUUCUUGAAACUCAAAGAUAUUUACAUCAACGGGUUCCUUAUCUCCCCACGAGUUCAUACAUAUCAAAAGUUCUCAAAUUCGACCCCAAAUGGUCCUCCAAAUCCCCAAUCAAAAGUCCAAAAUUCCAAGCCCUAGUUCUUCCAUUUUUAGCUUAAAUUCCAUGAUUUUCUAAGUGGAUUUCACAAUAUAAUUGAGUUUUUAGUCCAAGAAUCUUACCUUCCAACGAUUCCCCUUGAAUUCCUCUUCAAUCUCCUUCAAAAAUAUCUCAAAAAUGAGUAUCUAUGUGUGAAAAUAGACCCACCUUCGCGAACAAAACGAGUUUAAAAACAUUCUGCCCAGGCCUCAUCUCCUUCUAUGCGAUCGCGGAAAAACCUUCGCGAUCGCGAAGCACAAAAAUCUCAACUCUCAAAUUUACCCUAUGCGAUAGCAUCCAAGCCCCUGCGAUCGCAAUGCCUGAGCUCCUGACCCUAUGCAAUCGCGGGCUUACUCCCGCGUUUGCAUUGAACAAAGACCAGCCAAGCCCCCAGGUCUAUUUAACACUAUGUGAUCGCGACCCAUUACCCGCUUUCGCGAUGAACAAACUCCCCAAUCAAUGCGAUCGCAAGCCUCACUAUGCGAACAUGAAGAACAACUUGACAGCUCCCUCAAAUCCUUCUAUGCGAUCGCAGGACCCUAUGCGAUCGCAUAGAGCAAAGUUCUGCAAUAGCUGAACCUGCAAAUUCUGCAAUCAUCCAAGGCACGAAAUGGUCUUAUUGACCAUCCGAAACUCAACCGAGGCCUCCGGGACCUCAACCAAAGGCAACAACACAUCCUAAAACCUCAUUCAAACUUGUUCCAUUCAUCAAAACACCUCAAACAAUAUCAAAUCACCUAAAACACAUCGGAUUCAAGCCUAAGCUUCUAAAAUCUUCCGAAAUACGUUUUUGAUCAAAAACCCAACUAAACCACAUCCGAAUGACCUGAAAUUUUACAGACACAUCCCAAAUGACACAACGAAGCUACUGCAACUCUCGGAAUUCCUUUCCGUCACCUAUAUCAAAAUCUCGCCUAUCAACCGGAAAUCGCCAAAAUAUCAACUUCGUCAUUUCGAGCCUAAAUCUUCUCUACACAUCUAAAAGCCAUUCCAAUUGUUAGCACGUAAUUUUUGAACUAUAUGAAUUAUUCCAAUAAAUUCAAAACAAAAUAAUUUCUUAGUGUUUGCAAUUUUGUUGGAUUUCGUGGCAUUUUCUGUUAAUUAUUUGCAUUUGUCUGUGCACGUUUAUUUUAUUUAAUACAUGAAAAAUACAAAAAGAUGUUGCAUCUGCAUUUAGGAUUUAAUUUUAUAUUUUUAGAUUAAUUGGCAAAUUAGUUUGUUUAAUAAAAAAUAAAAAUCACAAAAAUAAUUCAUUUUGCAUUUUUACUUAUUAAUUUUGAAUUGGAUAAUUUUUCUUUAAAUUUAGGAUUUAAUUAAUACAAUUUUGAGUGAUUAAUCUAAUUGGGUAGGUUAAUUUAGUUUAAAAAAUUAUUAUUAGUUAAUUUAGGGUUUAUUUUAAUUUUGAAAAGAAAAGAAUUUGAAAUUGAAAAAGAAAAAGAAAAGAAAUAAAGGAAAUCCUAAUUUGGAUUGUUACAAUUGGUUUUACCCAGGCCCAAGUGUUAAACACCCGGUACCCGACCAAAUCAUCCCAAACCCACCUUUAACCCGGUCUCUUUCCCCACUAAACCAAACGACCCCGUUUUGAAAGCUCGACAGAUCUGGGCCGUUGAUUUUGUUCAAUCCAACGGACGGGAACUGAGGGUGUGCUUAAUAUUUAAGUGUCAGAACCCUCAAACCCUACCCCCCUCUCUCAUCUCCUUCAUCAGACCCUCUUCAUCCUCGCCGGAACCGCUGGCCGGAAAUCGUCUCCGCCGGCGGCGGUGCUCCAAUCGACCCCAAAUUUACACCAAAUGUUCCCCUCCACCACCCCGUCCCAAAUCUCUGUUCAAUUUCCUUCAAAUAUACCCAGAACCUCUCGAAUCACCUAGCGCCGCCACAGUUUCUCCAGUGGAGGCGCCGCCUCCGUUCAACCCCAAAUUAACACCCUAGGACCGUCAUCUCUCCCUUAUCCCAAAUCUUCACUCAGAUUUCUUCAAACAUCUCCGAAAUGUGUCGAAUGUCAAAUCGAAGAGUCGAGCCAUGAGAGCCUAAGGUCGGAAUUAUGCAUGCAAGCCUUUUCAGGAAUCUUCCAGUUGUUUCGAGUCGAUUUUGACACAAAAUAGUGACACUCGUUUGUUCAUCACCAAGAACAAAUGUUUGUCGCUGUGUUGGGUCGAAUCAGUGCCUCAGUUUUUAAUUUCAAGUCUAGCCGAUAAGUCCCGUUCAUCUUUGUUUUCAAAAUCGUCUGCGUGUCACCUCUGUUCCUUUCCUCUCUUUUAAUUUGUUUUCUGAUUUAUUAACUGUCCCGUUAAAGUUUUUGGUUUGGUCACUAAACUCGAUUAGUUAGCUUAAUUAGUUCCCCGCCUGUUGGUGAUCAUUAAUUAGUUGAUUUGUUUGGUUUUUAAGUUUUCUGAAUUUGUUUGGGUUUAAUCUUUGGGCUCUGAGGUCAGUCUAAGACCUCACGUUAAAGGAAUUCUAUUUGAUUUAAGAUUGAGCCCAUGUCUAUUUAAUCAUUGAGCCUGUUCGGGGAUUCACAGCCCAUGUUCAAGUCUGGCUGGGUUUUUAAGGUAAAAUACAGGGGUAAUAGGGGUAAAUUGUGUAGGUCACUUAAGGGAAUCUUGCUAUAACAGACUAGGAAGCUUCUAGGAAGCUGAGGUAGGGGUUGGUUCUGAUUUUCUGUUUUUUAAAAGGGUAUCUGAGCUAUAAUAAAAAUAAAAAGAGGGCAAAGUGCAAAAUUAAGGCUGCCCUAAUAGCUUGCCUAUAAAGGCAGCUUUUCUUGCCUUUCAAGGCAGCCCCAAGAGAACUUUAGAGGAAAAAAAUACAAAAAUUGAAGAAAACAACUGAAAAUUCUGAAAAAAAUAACACUGAAUUCCCUGCAUUUCAUUGUCGAAACUGCUCAAAAUUUUUGCUUGGUUUUGGUUUUCUGAUCUUCAUUGUUUAGUUUAAAACUACUGAAAAUACCAAAGUCUUGCACCUGGGUUGAAAUGGAUUGAAUUUUGGAUCUUUAGAAGUUUGGGUUUGCGUUUUGCUGUUACUGUUAUAUUGUUGAUCACUGCUACUGCUGUUUCCUCCUAAUCUCAAGCUAAAUUUCUGAUUCUUUUGUUGUAUUCAGGUACACAUUUCUGAGUUCUAUCUAAUGUGACGCCUUAUUCAAAGAUGAAAUGAAAAUCUGGAGUUUUGAGGAUAAUGUCACCUUGUUUUGCUCAUAGUUUUAGCUUUAUUUUGUUUAAUUGCAUUAUUUUGGAACCGUAUAGUGCAUUGUAUUCUGCUGGUUAUUGAUAAGUACCCUUCUGAGAGCUGAAUUUGGUUUGUGACUAGUGGGUGAUUUCAUUUUCUAGCAAAUAUCUCAUAGCUAAAUGUUGGUUUUGGGCAGUUGAACUCCUAUCCCUGAAUCUGAUCCUAGACUAUCAUAGAAACUUGAUGAAUAACUUGUUUAGUC